UACGGGGGGUGCAAGCGUUGUUCGGAAUUAUUGGGCGUAAAGAGCGUGUAGGCGGUUUGUUAAGUCUGAUGUGAAAGCCCUGGGCUCAACCCAGGAAGUGCAUUGGAAACUGGCAGACUUGAAUACGGGAGAGGGCAGUGGAAUUCCUAGUGUAGGAGUGAAAUCCGUAGAUAUUAGGAGGAACACCGGUGGCGAAGGCGGCUGCCUGGACCGAUAUUGACGCUGAGACGCGAAAGCGUGGGUAGCAAACGGG
RNAcentral lists this ribosomal RNA (253 nucleotides) under uncultured bacterium. RNAcentral describes it as "partial 16S ribosomal RNA". It matches the Rfam family "Bacterial small subunit ribosomal RNA", at positions 524 to 776 of the family's 1533-position model. The record is from RNAcentral.